This 200-nucleotide unclassified non-coding RNA is filed under the name Hevea brasiliensis (rubber tree). Lineage: Eukaryota; Viridiplantae; Streptophyta; Magnoliopsida; Malpighiales; Euphorbiaceae. The record is from RNAcentral.
UUGGCCGCAGGAGAUCAUUACACGGGUGGACCUUACAAGGCUUAUCGAGGAUGCAAAUAUUCGCAUUCUUCCCGGCUCGAGACCGAUGGUGUAAAUCGAACGUGGACGCACGAGAAAUACGAAAUCAAUCNNNNNNNNNGAGCGGCGUCUUCGAGCUUUCAAUUGCUCACCAAAGAACUGUCGUUUCCAGGUGGAUUUCG